This 4852-nucleotide long non-coding RNA is filed under the name Salmo salar (Atlantic salmon). RNAcentral's name for it is "lncRNA (ENSSSAG00000113905.1)". Lineage: Eukaryota; Metazoa; Chordata; Actinopteri; Salmoniformes; Salmonidae. The record is from RNAcentral.
CGUGGACACCACACACACCAGAGUGUGGUCACCACACACACCAGACUGUGGUCACCACACACCAGACCGUGGUCACCACACACAAGACCGUGAACAUCACAUCAGAACAUCACAACAUCAGAACAUCACAACAUCAGAACAUUACAACAUCAGAACAUUACAACAUCAGAACAUUACAACAUCAGAACAUUACAACAACAGAACAUUACAACAUCAGAACAUUACAACAUCAGAACAUUACAACAUCAGAACAUGACAACAUCAGAACAUUACAACAACAGAACACUACAACAUCAGAACAUUAGAACAUUACAACAUCAGAACACUACAACAUCAGAACAUUACAACAUCAGAACAUGACAACAUCAGAACAUUACAACAACAGAACAUUACAACAUCAGAACAUUACAACAUCAGAACAUUACAACAUUACAACAACAGAACACUACAACAUCAGAACACUACAACAUUAGAACAUUACAACAUCAGAACACUACAACAUCAGAACAUUACAACAUCAGAACAUGACAACAUCAGAACAUUACAACAACAGAACACUACAACAUCAGAACAUUACAACAUCAGAACAUUACAACAUCAGAACAUUACAACAUCAGAACAUUACAACAUCAGAACAUUACAACAUUACAACAACAGAACACUACAACAUCAGAACAUUACAACAUCAGAACAUUACAACAUCAGAACAUUACAACAUCAGAACAUUACAACAUCAGAACAUGACAACAUCAGAACAUCAUAAUAUCAGAACAUUACAAGAUCAGAACAUUAUGACAUCAGAACAUUACGACAUCAGAACAUCAUUAUAUCAGAACAUUACAAAAUCAGAACAUUACGACAUCAGAACAUUACAACAUCAGAACAUUACAACAUCAGAACAUCAGAACAUGACAACAUCAGAACAUCAUUAUAUCAGAACAUUACAACAUCAGAACAUUACAACAUCAGAACAUUACAACAUCACAACAUCAGAACAUCAGAACAUUACAACAUCAGAACAUUACAACAUCACAACAUCAGAACAUCAUUAUAUCAGAACAUUACAACAUCAGAACAUUACAACAUCAGAACAUCAUAAAAUCUGAACAUUACAACAUUACAACAUUACAACAUCAGAACAUCAGAAUAUCACAACAUCCGAACAUCAUAAUAUCACAACAUCACAACAUCAGAAUAUCAGAACAUCAGAACAUCAGAAUAUCACAACAUCCGAACAUCAUAAUAUCACAACAUCAGAACAUCACAACAUCAGAACCAUCAGAAUAUCAGAACAUCACAACAUCAGAAUAUCAGAACAUCAUAAUAUCACAACAUCAGAACAUCAUAAUAUCAGAACAUUACAACAUCAGAAUAUCAGAACAUCAUAAUAUCACAACAUCAGAACAUCAUAAUAUCAGAACAUUACAACAUCAGAACAUCAAAAUAUUCUGCCAGUGCCAACUAUAUAAUAUAUAAUGAACUGGAUUGAUAGUUUUGAUAUGUCUUUAUACAUCAACAUGUAGUUUAUGUGGCCUGCUGUAAUGAACCACUCUGGAAACUGUCUCUAGGCAACGCUGGUGAUGUCAAUGCAGAUCAGACAUGUCACCAUGUUUAAAUAGUAGAUGAUUGUGUGGGUUUUGGUUGGUAAUCACCAUCUCUGUCGGUAUUGGAUACGUCUUGUUUCUGUCAACUUCAACUAACAACUUUUAAAGCCUCCAUUGAUGUACAGUACUAAUUUCCUGGAAGUUAAUUUGGUAACACCCUACAUAGCGCUCUCCUUCUGUAGUUCCCUCUGGGGCAGUUGAGAUCUUUGUCUCUGAUUGCAUUCCAAAUGGGACCCUAUUCCCUACAUAUAGUGCACUACUUUAGACCAGGGCUGGCACCAUAUUCCCUACAUAUAGUGCACUACUUUAGACCAGGGCUGGCUCCCUAUUCCCUACAUAUGGUGCACUACUUUUGACAGAGCCCUAUGGGUAAUAGGGCACCAAUUUGGAACGUAGACUUGGUCUUAAUUCAUUACAUUCAGCAACAAAUUAGUUUGUCCCUCUAAUCAAGAGCAGGAAGUAGUGAUGUACUGUACUCUGGUUCCCCAGGAAUGACAUCUUUUCAUCUUUUCCAGAACUUCUCACCAUCCGUUUGUCGCCAAGAUUACUGGUGACAUUUGUUGAGCUGAGUUUCCUUCUUCCACCUCUUACUUUUCCACCGAAUUGUUGAUUCUACUCAAUUUAAAGAAUUGUGUCAGCCUUCAGCCCGCCUCACGAAUGGUCUAGGUCACAUCCAAACGGCGUCCUAUUCCCUGUGUAGUGUACUACAUUUGACGAGGACCAAUAAGAAAUAGGGUUCAUUUUGGGAUACACACCAGUCUGCUCAUAGGGCCUACGGACAUACCAGCAUAUUGGAAAAAUAUGGAUGUAAUUUUUCUGUCUCUGAAGUCCCUCUCCUUCCUCCAUCCCUCCUACUCCUCUAUGUGCUCAGUUUAGAAGGCAUUAGCUCACUAACCAGGCAUUUCAGUAGAAGCACAUUUGAACAAACAAACGGCAUGUCAAAUGGCAUGAGGUAACAAGCUCCGUUCUGGUUCUGCUGUGUUUAUUUAACCAGUCUGUUUGGUAUAGGAGUGGAGCGCUAGGCUAGCUAUACGGCUAGCUACACUGUACUGAGAGAGGAGGGUUAGGUCAUUGAUUAUUUAACCAGUCUGUUUGGUAUAGGAGCAGAGCACUAGGCUAGCUAUAUGGCUAGCUAUACUGUACUGACAGAGAGAAGGGUUAAGUAAUAUAUUAUUUAACCAGUCUGUUUUGUAUAGGAGCAGAGCGCUAGGCUAUCACAGCACAGAAUCGUUUCACUCAAAUUGAGUUUCUGUAUUGAAAAAAAUGUAUAACUACCUUAGACAAACAUCAACAAAUGUGGGAGCCUGUUGACCUGGCUGAAAAAUAAAUAGUUGUUUUGGACAGUGUACUUAGGGGUCCUCAAGAGGGUCAGCAGGAAAUGUGCUUUUACAGCUUGAUUUCUGCUAAUGCUGUUCUAGCAAGGCUGCUACUUCACAACCAGUCAGACCAAAGCUGCUACUUCACAAUCAGUCAGACCAAAGCUGCUACUUCACAAUCAGUCAGACCAAGGCUGUUACUUCACAAUCAGUCAGACCAAGGCUGCUACUUCACAAUCAGUCAGACCAAGUCUGCUACUUCACAAUCAGUCAGACCAAGGCUGUUACUUCACAAUCAGUCAGACCAAGGCUGCUACUUCACAAUCAGUCAGACCAAGGCUGCUACUUCACAAUCAGUCAGACCAAGGCUGCUACUUCACAAUCAGCCAGACCAAGGCUGCUACUUCACAAUCAGUCAGACCAAGUCUGUUACUUCACAAUCAGUCAGACCAAGUCUGCUACUUCACAAUCAGUCAGACCAAGGCUGCUACUUCACAAUCAGUCAGACCAAGGCUGUUACUUCACAAUCAGUCAGACCAAGGCUGUUACUUCACAAUCAGUCAGACCAAGGCUGCUACUUCACAAUCAGUCAGACCAAGGCUGCUACUUCACAAUCAGUCAGACCAAGUCUGCUACUUCACAAUCAGCCAGACCAAGGCUGCUACUUCACAAUCAGUCAGACCAAGGCUGCUACUUCACAAUCAGUCAGACCAAGGCUGCUACUUCACAAUCAGUCAGACCAAGGCUGCUACUUCACAAUCAGUCAGACCAAGGCUGCUACUUCACAAUCAGUCAGACCAAGGCUGUUACUGCACAAUCAGUCAGACCAAGGCUGCUACUUCACAAUCAGUCAGACCAAGUCUGCUACUUCACAAUCAGUCAGACCAAGGCUACUACUUCACAAUUGAAAUGUACUCCUCACUUAAUCCAAAUAACUUAGACUUAACGUUUGUUAUGAUAUCGAGUUUAACGUUACUAUUGUGCAGGAUGCGAACAGGUGACUACAAUGGAUUAAAGUGAGCAAAAAAUAAAUCAUUCUCAGAUUUUUUUGUUGUUGAGUGCUCCAAUUAGUUUUUACCUCAAAUUAGUUAUUUUUAACUUUUUUCUUGGUAAGCCAUUUUCAUGAUUUUUGUCAUUGUUGUUGAGCACCCCACCUUUCCUUAGUUUGCUGAAGCGUGAAGGACCACCUGAACUCUAAUAUCACUACUUAACACUGAUAUAUGUGACCACAUUGCUGGUGGAUCUAAUGGGUGUCCACAAGAUCACAGUUGCAAUGACUGAUGGAAGGAGAGAGAGAGUGAGAUGGAGAAAGAAAGAAGGAGAGAGACAUACAGAGGAGAGACACACACAGAGAAAGACACAUAGAGAGAGAGUGAGAGAGAGCGAGAGGGAGUGAAAGAGAGAGAGGGUGAGUGAAAUAGAGAGAGUGAGUGAAAUAGAGAGAGAGAGUGAAUGUGUGAGAGAGAGAGCAAGUGAAAGAGAGUGAGAGAGAGUCAGAGAGUGAGUGAAAAAGAGAGUAAAAGAUAGAGAGAGAGCAAGUGAAAGAGACAGUAAAAGAGAGAGACUCCGAGAGAGUGAGUGAAAGAGAGAGUAAAAGAGAGAGAGAGAGUGAAAGAGAGAGAGAGAGUGAAAGAGAGAGAGUAAAAGAGAAACAGAGCAGAGUCCCUGGGAGGUUUACACUUGCACACCAAACAUUCCACACAUUCAUUUUGUGCCACCUUCUACUCACCUUGCCCUGUGAGGAUGCCCAGAUUAAUCAUGUUAAGAGUUAGACUUCGCCUUCCCUCAUCGAGCUGCAACAGAUAAAUUACAGGCUGGCUUCAGACCCUGACUGACUGACAGGCCUAGACCAGAGGAGUCCUUCCAUUCUUUAUUUUAUUUUUCCUUUAUUCUUCCUGUGUUUCUGUCUCAUCCUCUCCCCUUUCUUUACAG